UCUUCAUCAUGAGCAAACGACGUCGCCUCAUAUUUUUAUUCUUAUUGCUGUGGGUAUCAGGUCUAACUGAUGGGGGGGAAGUCAAGCAGACCUCCAUACUCUGGAAAAACCAGGGUGAUAAUGUAUCUAUAGAAUGCAGUCAUACCUAUGGCAGUAGCUAUUUCUAUAUGUACUGGUACAGACAGCUGCCUGGAGAACUAAUGAAACAAAUGGUGUUUACUACUGAAAACUCCCAACCCGACUUUGAACCAGACUUCAGGGAUGACAAAUUCUCAGCCACCAAGACUGACGCUCACAGUGGGACACUGAUAGUGAAUAAUUUGGUGCCAGGAGAUCAAGGCUUGUAUUUCUGUGCUGCUAGUAUGCACAGUGAUACAGCCACACUCAACACUCGUACAAAAACCUCAGAUCAUGAACUGUAGGGGGAUGUCAAGAACCACAAAUACUCACAACUGAACGUUGAUUCAUCAUACCAAUUCAACUCAAACUUCUUAAUGUUUUGAAACAAUUUAUUUCAACUUACAGUUAUUUUGUUCCAGG
Long non-coding RNA from Astatotilapia calliptera (eastern happy), 540 nucleotides. Lineage: Eukaryota; Metazoa; Chordata; Actinopteri; Cichliformes; Cichlidae. The record is from Ensembl.